GCGGGAGUGGUGGAAUGGCAGACACGCCGGCUUUAGGUGCCGGUGUCUUCGGACGUGCGGGUUCAAGUCCCGCCUCCCGCACUA
This 84-nucleotide transfer RNA is filed under the name Actinomycetes bacterium. RNAcentral's name for it is "Actinobacteria bacterium tRNA-Leu". It matches the Rfam family "tRNA". From Rfam's summary of the family: Transfer RNA (tRNA) molecules are approximately 80 nucleotides in length. Their secondary structure includes four short double-helical elements and three loops (D, anti-codon, and T loops). Further hydrogen bonds mediate the characteristic L-shaped molecular structure. tRNAs have two regions of fundamental functional importance: the anti-codon, which is responsible for specific mRNA codon recognition, and the 3' end, to which the tRNAs corresponding amino acid is attached (by aminoacyl-tRNA synthetases). tRNAs cope with the degeneracy of the genetic code in two manners: having more than one tRNA (with a specific anti-codon) for a particular amino acid; and 'wobble' base-pairing, i.e. permitting non-standard base-pairing at the 3rd anti-codon position. The record is from RNAcentral. Lineage: Bacteria; Bacillati; Actinomycetota; Actinomycetes.